RNAcentral lists this ribosomal RNA (324 nucleotides) under uncultured bacterium. RNAcentral's name for it is "bacterial SSU rRNA". It matches the Rfam family "Bacterial small subunit ribosomal RNA", at positions 32 to 362 of the family's 1533-position model. The record is from RNAcentral.
AAUCAACGCUGGCGGCGUGCCUAACACAUGCAAGUCGAACGAGAAAGUGGGAGCAAUCCCAUGAGUAAAGUGGCGCACGGGUGAGUAACACGUGACUAACCUACCCUUGAGUGGAGGAUAACUGAGGGAAACCUUAGCUAAUACCGCAUAAUACCCACGGGUCAAAGGAGCAAUUCGCUCGAGGAGGGGGUCGCGGCCGAUUAGUUAGUUGGCAGGGUAAUGGCCUACCAAGACGAUGAUCGGUAUCCGGCCUGAGAGGGCGCACGGACACACUGGAACUGAAACACGGUCCAGACUCCGUACGGGAGGCAGCAGGUGGGGUAA